GACGAACGCUGGCGGCGUGCCUAAUACAUGCAAGUCGAGCGAGCGGAACUAACAGAUUUACUUCGGUAAUGACGUUAGGAAAGCGAGCGGCGGAUGGGUGAGUAACACGUGGGGAACCUGCCCCAUAGUCUGGGAUACCACUAGGAAACAGGUGCUAAUACCGGAUAAGAAAGCAGAUCGCAUGAUCAGCUUUUAAAAGGCGGCGUAAGCUGUCGCUAUGGGAUGGCCCCGCGGUGCAUUAGCUAGUUGGUAAGGUAAAGGCUUACCAAGGCGAUGAUGCAUAGCCGAGUUGAGAGACUGAUCGGCCACAUUGGGACUGAGACACGGCCCAAACUCCUACGGGAGGCAGCAGUAGGGAAUCUUCCACAAUGGACGCAAGUCUGAUGGAGCAACGCCGCGUGAGUGAAGAAGGUUUUCGGAUCGUAAAGCUCUGUUGUUGGUGAAGAAGGAUAGAGGUAGUAACUGGCCUUUAUUUGACGGUAAUCAACCAGAAAGUCACGGCUAACUACGUGCCAGCAGCCGCGGUAAUACGUAGGUGGCAAGCGUUGUCCGGAUUUAUUGGGCGUAAAGCGAGCGCAGGCGGAAGAAUAAGUCUGAUGUGAAAGCCCUCGGCUUAACCGAGGAACUGCAUCGGAAACUGUUUUUCUUGAGUGCAGAAGAGGAGAGUGGAACUCCAUGUGUAGCGGUGGAAUGCGUAGAUAUAUGGAAGAACACCAGUGGCGAAGGCGGCUCUCUGGUCUGCAACUGACGCUGAGGCUCGAAAGCAUGGGUAGCGAACAGGAUUAGAUACCCUGGUAGUCCAUGCCGUAAACGAUGAGUGCUAAGUGUUGGGAGGUUUCCGCCUCUCAGUGCUGCAGCUAACGCAUUAAGCACUCCGCCUGGGGAGUACGACCGCAAGGUUGAAACUCAAAGGAAUUGACGGGGGCCCGCACAAGCGGUGGAGCAUGUGGUUUAAUUCGAAGCAACGCGAAGAACCUUACCAGGUCUUGACAUCUAGUGCCAUUUGUAGAGAUACAAAGUUCCCUUCGGGGACGCUAAGACAGGUGGUGCAUGGCUGUCGUCAGCUCGUGUCGUGAGAUGUUGGGUUAAGUCCCGCAACGAGCGCAACCCUUGUUAUUAGUUGCCAGCAUUAAGUUGGGCACUCUAAUGAGACUGCCGGUGACAAACCGGAGGAAGGUGGGGAUGACGUCAAGUCAUCAUGCCCCUUAUGACCUGGGCUACACACGUGCUACAAUGGGCAGUACAACGAGAAGCGAGCCUGCGAAGGCAAGCGAACCUCUGAAAGCUGUUUUCAGUUCGGACUGCAGUCUGCAACUCGACUGCGCGAAGCUGGAAUCGCUAGUAAUCGCGGAUCAGCACGCCGCGGUGAAUACGUUCCCGGGCCU
This 1385-nucleotide ribosomal RNA is filed under the name uncultured bacterium. RNAcentral's name for it is "bacterial SSU rRNA". It matches the Rfam family "Bacterial small subunit ribosomal RNA", at positions 28 to 1381 of the family's 1533-position model. The record is from RNAcentral.